GAGAUGCACCAUUUCACAACUUCAGCAAAAGCCAAAGCAGCCAACAAAGCCACAGCCCCAUCGGCUGUACUGGGCUCUGCCUUUUGGGCAGCUCGCCGGCCACUCCCCAAAAGCAGAGCAUUCCAUCCUUUCUCUUUUUAAACCCACGUCAUCAUCUGAUCAUAAUGGAAAUCAAUCUCCUCAAACCACCAUGCAAAGGCGUAUCCAUGGCAACCUCAAAAGGAAGGACACAGAGAUGAUGCUUCAGUGGCUGCAGCAGGAAAAGGUGUUUCAAACUUCCUUUACCAUUUUCAAGUCCUUACUCCCACCCAAGCCAACACCAGCAUCCCCACCUCUCAGCAGAUAACCUUGCUGAAAAAGAAAACUGGCCCUAUUAGGGCCCACUCCUUCCCCUCUCCUCUGAGGACCUGAUUUAGCAAUCGUCUUUUCUCUUGUGUCUUCAUUGCACCCUCUCUACUGGAUCUUACAUGGCAUCAGAAAACCCAUAAACAAGACUCUUCCAUUCUAGGAAAAACAAGUCCCUGCUACCUCCUCCACAAGCUGCCACCAUUCUGUAUUCUUCCUUUCUCUGCUGAACUACUCAAACUCUUCGCCUCUCGGUACUUUUAAGUAUACCUGAGUAGCCAGUGGUCAACAUGGGUUUGCUGCUCUCCUCACUGCAAUAAAUGUGGGAAACCUGUAGCUCAGUAUGGAUUCAGGGGCGCCUCAGACGCUCGCAGGAACGGAGGGGAGACCCUUGCAGUUCUGGAGGAACUCUAAGGCGCAGUCACUCUGAUCCCAAGAGGACACUGCUAGGCUGGAGAGCUGAGUUUCGCCCUGACUGAAAACUGCGCGCCGACCGCAGCCGGGAUUACAUCAAUCAGGCACAAAGCUGGACACCUGGGACAGGAUAAGCGCACGCG
Nomascus leucogenys (northern white-cheeked gibbon) is the source of this 902-nucleotide long non-coding RNA. RefSeq lists it as uncharacterized. The transcript is spliced from 6 exons. The record is from RefSeq and is a predicted model, not a curated record. NCBI's taxonomy places the organism in Eukaryota, Metazoa, Chordata, Mammalia, Primates, Hylobatidae.